UACAGAGGUCUCAAGCGUUGUUCGGAUUCAUUGGGCGUAAAGGGUGCGUAGGUGGCGCUGUAAGUCAGGUGUGAAAUUUCGGAGCUUAACUCCGAAACUGCAUUUGAUACUGCGGUGCUCGAGGACUGGAGAGGAGACUGGAAUUUACGGUGUAGCAGUGAAAUGCGUAGAGAUCGUAAGGAAGACCAGUGGCGAAGGCGGGUCUCUGGACAGUUCCUGACGCUGAGGCACGAAGGCCAGGGGAGCAAACAGG
RNAcentral lists this ribosomal RNA (253 nucleotides) under uncultured bacterium. Its description in RNAcentral is "partial 16S ribosomal RNA". It matches the Rfam family "Bacterial small subunit ribosomal RNA", at positions 524 to 776 of the family's 1533-position model. The record is from RNAcentral.